GACAGAGGUCCCAAGCGUUAGGCGGAAUCACUGGGCUUAAAGCGUGUGUAGGCGGUUUUGUAAGUACCUUGUGAAAUCCCACGGCUCAACCGUGGAACUGCUUGGUAUACUGCUUAUCUUGGGCCAUCUAGGGGCGAGCGGAACAACCGGUGGAGCGGUGAAAUGCGUAGAUAUCGGUUGGAACGCCAAUGGUGAAAACAGCUCGCUGGGGAUGUGCCGACGCUGAGAUACGAAAGCCAGGGGAGCGAACGGG
Molecule: ribosomal RNA, 253 nt
Filed under: uncultured bacterium
Lineage: Bacteria
Description: partial 16S ribosomal RNA
Rfam family: Bacterial small subunit ribosomal RNA
Source: RNAcentral